UAUGCAAAAGAGAAUUGCAACAACACAGCAUGUUUCUCUUCUCCCUUUCACACACAUGCUUUGUACCUCAGGCUCAUCCGAGACAAUCGUAUCCAGGUAAAAUAAUUUUCUUUAAUCUACACACUUUUAGGAAUUAAUUAGCUAAUUUCAUGGAUAAUUUCAGUGACUGAAUUAUUGCCGGUCAUUCGUACAUUUACUUUAUUAUAUAAAAUAUGUAAAUUAAAUCUCUUUGAAACUUUUAGAAUCUAAUCUGUUGGUUUCUUUUUUUCAUAGCAUUUUAUCAAAGUGUUGUCUGCUACAAAGUUAAAAGUAUUGUACUAGUAGUAAUAUACCAUCCACUAUCUCCUGCUUGCAUAUUUCUGAAAACAUGUUAGUGGUGUGGUGGCCAUGGAUUGAGCCAGCCCUGCAAACCCUGUGGAUGGACGAUGCAGUGGACAGUGGGAGGAAGCAUCCUGAAGCUCUCUUUGCAGACCACUGUGUGUGAUUCUCCACUCGCCGACCAGAAAAGACAAACGGCAGGUCUCAGUUGCAGCACCUCAUCCAUCCAUGUCUGAUCCUGCAUCGGCAGAUUCAGCAACACAGCCAGAGACUUCCUGUAAUCUAUUACAGUUGUUAAAAAAAAAAAAAACGGUCCAGGAACAGGUCACUCAGGUUAAUCCUGUAUAAACAACUGUAAAUAUCGUUUUUUCUUCUUUAAAUAUUGUUGGCUUAUUAGAAAUAUUCUUGUUCAAUUGUUGUUGUUAUUUACUUUAUUGCCAUCAAAUAAAUAUCCAUGUAAAAUUGUCCAAAGUUAGCAUUAUGUUCAUACAUGUUAAAAAUACCUGAAAAUAAAAUGAGUUCAGUGACAGUUA
Long non-coding RNA from Oreochromis aureus, 851 nucleotides. RefSeq lists it as uncharacterized. The transcript is spliced from 2 exons. The record is from RefSeq and is a predicted model, not a curated record. NCBI's taxonomy places the organism in Eukaryota, Metazoa, Chordata, Actinopteri, Cichliformes, Cichlidae.